This 850-nucleotide ribosomal RNA is filed under the name uncultured Ornithinibacillus sp. Its description in RNAcentral is "bacterial SSU rRNA". It matches the Rfam family "Bacterial small subunit ribosomal RNA", at positions 56 to 876 of the family's 1533-position model. Lineage: Bacteria; Bacillati; Bacillota; Bacilli; Caryophanales; Bacillaceae. The record is from RNAcentral.
UGCAGUCGAGCGAGUGAAUUAACUGAUCCCUUCGGGGUGACGUUAAUGGAUCUAGCGGCGGACGGGUGAGUAACACGUGGGCAACCUGCCUGUAAGACUGGGAUAACUCGCGGAAACGUGAGCUAAUACCGGAUAACACUUCGAACCACAUGGUUUGAAGAUGAAAGGCGGCGCAAGCUGUCACUUACAGAUGGGCCCGCGGCGCAUUAGCUAGUUGGUGAGGUAACGGCUCACCAAGGCGACGAUGCGUAGCCGACCUGAGAGGGUGAUCGGCCACACUGGGACUGAGACACGGCCCAGACUCCUACGGGAGGCAGCAGUAGGGAAUCUUCCGCAAUGGACGAAAGUCUGACGGAGCAACGCCGCGUGAGUGAUGAAGGUUUUCGGAUUGUAAAACUCUGUUGUUAGGGAAGAACAAGUACAAUAGUAACUGAUUGUACCUUGACGGUACCUAACCAGAAAGCCCCGGCUAACUACGUGCCAGCAGCCGCGGUAAUACGUAGGGGGCAAGCGUUGUCCGGAAUUAUUGGGCGUAAAGCGCGCGCAGGCGGUCCUUUAAGUCUGAUGUGAAAGCCCACGGCUUAACCGUGGAGGGUCAUUGGAAACUGGAGGACUUGAGUGCAGAAGAGGAGAGUGGAAUUCCACGUGUAGCGGUGAAAUGCGUAGAGAUGUGGAGGAACACCAGUGGCGAAGGCGACUCUCUGGUCUGUAACUGACGCUGAGGCGCGAAAGCGUGGGGAGCGAACAGGAUUAGAUACCCUGGUAGUCCACGCCGUAAACGAUGAGUGCUAGGUGUUAGGGGGUUUCCGCCCCUUAGUGCUGAAGUUAACGCAUUAAGCACUCCGCCUGG